Molecule: long non-coding RNA, 386 nt
Organism: Hyaena hyaena (striped hyena)
Lineage: Eukaryota; Metazoa; Chordata; Mammalia; Carnivora; Hyaenidae
Exons: 2
Source: RefSeq, a predicted model, not a curated record
GGCUCCAGAUCUCACCACUGGGAGUCCUAGACUGCUUUAGGGAUUGAACCCAGACCCAGGCACCAUUGUUCCUUGUGAUGGCCAGCAGACCUUGCCCUCUCCCUGCAACAAUUUCCACCCAGGGCAGAGAGGCUACCAAAGAACGCUCUUUCCCUCCUGACGACAUACUGUAAAAUUUAAGUUUGGCCCUGAUGUGGCCAUGGCUGCUGCCCAGAAGGAAGUCAGCUGAGACCAGUCUCACUGUACAGAGGUGGGAAGACCUGUGAGAUAGGCAUAGAACCGGGCCUGGAGCUCUGUGGACACCACUCAGUUCUGGAUAUUUCUGUGCCUGAAGCUACUAUGGACUGCUUAAUGAUUUGGCCCAAUAAAUUGCCUUUUUUACUAAA